RNAcentral lists this ribosomal RNA (301 nucleotides) under uncultured bacterium. RNAcentral describes it as "partial 16S ribosomal RNA". It matches the Rfam family "Bacterial small subunit ribosomal RNA", at positions 509 to 809 of the family's 1533-position model. The record is from RNAcentral.
CAGUAGCCGCGGUAAUACGUAGGUGGCAAGCGUUGUCCGGAAUUAUUGGGCGUAAAGGGCUCGCAGGCGGUUUCUUAAGUCUGAUGUGAAAGCCCCCGGCUCAACCGGGGAGGGUCAUUGGAAACUGGGAAACUUGAGUGCAGAAGAGGAGAGUGGAAUUCCACGUGUAGCGGUGAAAUGCGUAGAGAUGUGGAGGAACACCAGUGGCGAAGGCGACUCUCUGGUCUGUAACUGACGCUGAGGAGCGAAAGCGUGGGGAGCGAACAGGAUUAGAGACCCGCGUAGUCCCUGUCUCUUAUAU